GGGUCCUGUGCAACAAACGCUUGUGAACCAUGUCAGGCGGGGAACCGAGCAGCAUUAAGCAAAGCUUUUUGUGUGCCGCAGUUUCGCCU
Molecule: signal recognition particle RNA, 89 nt
Filed under: pig gut metagenome
Description: Bacterial small signal recognition particle RNA
Rfam family: Bacterial small signal recognition particle RNA
About the family: The signal recognition particle (SRP) is a universally conserved ribonucleoprotein involved in the co-translational targeting of proteins to membranes.
Source: RNAcentral